CUGCUGCUGCUACCAUAGUAGAUGGUGCUUUGCGUAUGGCUGAGAGCAGUUUCCAGCAUAGGCUAAGUACGGUUCAAAGUUAUGAAUUAUUUUCAUCUGAUUUUCAAUCGCUGCAGUCCAAAAGAUGGUUGAACGAUAAAAUAGUAAAUGCUUUGCACAUAGUAUUCCAGCAAGAGGCAAACUUGAUGGUACGCGAGAAAAUUUUGUCAAACUAUGUGCGUUUCAUUUCUUUUUUAUUAUACAAUUCCAAUAGAGUAUUGUCAAUGAAUUCCUACCUUGUUCCAAGUUAUGGAAAACGAGGAUACGACGGCAUAUGGAGGGCUACUAUGGAGGUUAAUAAAAUGACAUUCCUUGUUAAAAUGUAGAAUUCAUGCAGUAAAGCUUUGUAUAGGUCAACGUCUUUGAAUACGAACUAAUUGCUAUACCUGUCCAUAGAAAGAAUCACUGGAUAGAAGUGGU
Molecule: long non-coding RNA, 459 nt
Organism: Corticium candelabrum
Lineage: Eukaryota; Metazoa; Porifera; Homoscleromorpha; Homosclerophorida; Plakinidae
Exons: 3
Source: RefSeq, a predicted model, not a curated record